RNAcentral lists this ribosomal RNA (478 nucleotides) under uncultured bacterium. RNAcentral's name for it is "partial 16S ribosomal RNA". It matches the Rfam family "Bacterial small subunit ribosomal RNA", at positions 28 to 523 of the family's 1533-position model. The record is from RNAcentral.
GACGAACGCUGGCGGCGUGCUUAACACAUGCAAGUCGAACGGUAAGGCCCUUCGGGGUACACGAGUGGCGAACGGGUGAGUAACACGUGGGUGAUCUGCCCUGCACUUCGGGAUAAGCCUGGGAAACUGGGUCUAAUACCGGAUAGGACUCCUGGCUUCAUGGUUGGGGGUGGAAAGCUUUUGCGGUGUGGGAUGGGCCCGCGGCCUAUCAGCUUGUUGGUGGGGUAAUGGCCUACCAAGGCGACGACGGGUAGCCGGCCUGAGAGGGUGACCGGUAACACUGGGACUGAGAUACGGCCCAGACUCCUACGGGAGGCAGCAGUGGGGAAUAUUGCACAAUGGGCGCAAGCCUGAUGCAGCGACGCCGCGUGAGGGAUGACGUCCUUCGGGUUGUAAACCUCUUUCAGCUAUGACGAAGCGCAAGUGACGGUAGUAGCAGAAGAAGGACCGGCCAACUACGUGCCAGCCGCCGCCGCGG